RNAcentral lists this ribosomal RNA (728 nucleotides) under Megophrys sp. 37 ZL-2018. RNAcentral describes it as "partial 12S rRNA'". It matches the Rfam family "Bacterial small subunit ribosomal RNA", at positions 218 to 1398 of the family's 1533-position model. Lineage: Eukaryota; Metazoa; Chordata; Amphibia; Anura; Megophryidae. The record is from RNAcentral.
UUAGAGGAAGAGGAGCCGGUAUCAGGCUCAAAAUGCCCAUGACACCUAGCCCAGCCACACCCCCAAGGGUACUCAGCAGUGAUUAACAUUGUAAACUAGCGAAAGCUAAAUACAGUUACCAGCUAAAAAAACCGGUCAAUCUCGUGCCAGCCACCGCGGAUAUACGGGUAGGUUAAAAUUGAUAACGUCGGCUCAAAGCGUGGUUAGAUUCUCACCUCAAUAAAGCAAAAAAAAAGCUUGGCUGUGACAUGCUUUCGCUUUUAAUAACCCCAAUCACGAAAGUAGCUUUAACCCUAAUUGAAUCCACGAUCGCUAGGGCACAAACUGGGAUUAGGUACCCCACUAUGCCUAGCCCUAAACUUUGAUUAUCCGCCUGGGAACUACGAGCGUCAGCUUAAAACCCAAAAGACUUGGCGGUGCCCUAUACCACCUAGAGGAGCCUGUUCUAUAAUCGAUAAUCCCCGAUUCACCUCACCAUCUCUUGCCAAUACCGCCUGUAUACCUCCGUCACCAACUGACCCCAUAAGGGCUAAGUCGGUUAAAUGGCUUCCCUCCAAUAAGUCAGGUCAAGGUGCAGCGAAUGAGAUGGGAAGAAAUGGGCUACAUUUUCUACUAAUAGACUAUACGAAAGAUCACUAUGAAAUCUGAUUGGAAGGUGGAUUUAGCAGUAAAAAGAGACUAGAGUGCUCUUUUUAAGUUGGCUCUAGGGUGCGUACACACCGCCCGUC